AUGGAAGUUCCCAUGUUUGAAGAAUCUGAAGUAUGUCUAAAUUUGGAAUAUAGGUGUAUCUUGUAUUUAUGCUGGCCACAGGUCAAACAUUGUAUACUGUCAAGCAGUGAAGCAGGUAACAGUUUCCAUCAACUUGAUGUCCAAUUGAGAUCUCACCACAUUGACAAAUGUCAUCAAGUGGGGCCCACAGAAAGUUACAUGGUGUCAGAUACUCAACUGGGGCACUGUUGGCAGAUAAAUACUGUCCAACUGCUUAACCUGCAUCAAAGACAGGUGCAGUCACAUAUUAGAGCGCGGCACACACCCCUCUCUCUAAGGUGCUUUGCAUUUGACUCACAUGUACUCCAUCCGUUCCGAUUUACUCGUCGUGGUUUUAGUUCAAAGGAACGGAGGGAGUAUGAGGUAUCUGUAUUUGAGAUGGUUAUGUAUAGUUUAGCCUUCAGUAGGGUAAUCAUAAAACUUUACUUGGAAACUAGAUAG
RNAcentral lists this ribosomal RNA (480 nucleotides) under Triticum aestivum (bread wheat). RNAcentral describes it as "partial small subunit ribosomal RNA". Lineage: Eukaryota; Viridiplantae; Streptophyta; Magnoliopsida; Poales; Poaceae. The record is from RNAcentral.